UACAACAUAGGCAUUUCAUGACCAUGAAUGUUCCAAGAGGUGACCGUACAAGGAAAGUGAACAAAUGGCAUUCCAUAAAACUGAUCACUAUACUAAUCUUGGCAAAGCUUCUCAGCGAAACACGUCGAAAUAGUAAUAGUGUGACAUCCUUACAAAGUGCUAAUUUCUCUUAGUUACAUAUAUGUAAGUGACAUUGGCAAUACAGUUAAAGGAUGAAGUAUCUGAUGCAACUAAAGUAGACGUGGAAAGCUGCAAUGCUCUCAGUGGAUGGAUGAGCUCCUUCAACUGUUGGUGCAUUCAAUACUCCCAAUGCUUGUGCCCUGUAUAUUUGUAGAGGAAAAAAGAUCAGUGGAAGUACUACACAUACAGAUCCAAAAUGCAACCGUGACCUUUCUGUUCAGAUCAAUACAAAUGAUUUUUUUAUAAAUAACAGUGCAAGACAAUACAAAUACUAUUUGGUGAGAAAUGUGGCCCCAUUUGGUCAUGUACAUUACAAACUUAACUAUAUACAAACUAUGCAAAGAUGAGCGCACAUUAUUCUUACCAAGGAAGAAGCUACAUAAUCAAUGUCAGCUUUAGUUGGUUCAGUAUAUGUACAGAAAUCACCAGCACUUAGGGUCGCAGCAGCAUUGGUCUCGAGUAAAUAAUAAUAUAAAUAUUUAAUAAAAAUAAACCCAGUGAUGCUCAACCGAUCUGUGGAUGAAUUUAUUUGGCUGACAUCUAGUAACUACUGUUAUUAGCAUAUACUAUCUCCAUUGCUAAAUAUAUGACGUUUUGGCAGUUUAAAUUAAAAUGCCCAAAUGUCUUAUGUUUAGGAGUUGAGGUAGUACAUAGUUAGACACGGUAAAUCAUAAUGAAGCCAUUUGUUGUUACUCAUACAAUUGGAAUCACAUUUAAUAAUAGUUCUUUAUUUGAGCAAAGGUUAAAUGCAAAUUAUAUAAAAAAUUCUUAACAACCUUCAUCAUCUGCGCUGGUUCCACAACAUUCUACAAAACACCUAUGCUAAUUUCUAGGGAUGAAAAUGCAGCGGAAACGGACAGAACUGAGUGCUACCACAUUUGUUUUCAUAUUCUUUUGCAGAAGCGGAAACGAAUACAGAAACCCCGGAAAUGAAUGCGGAAACAGAUACUACCAGAAACGGACACGGAGCGAAUACAAAGCAGACACGGAAACAUAAGUGGGUGUUGACCGGAACUUAAAACCCCUUUGAAUCAUAGAGAAAUACACACAAACACAAACAAAUUUACUGAAUUAUUAAUUAACAUGGCUACAAAAUAAUAUCAUUGUGUUAACAACUUAUGUAGUAUUGUAGUAGUACUGGACAAUUGCACAUAGGAUCAAGCUGAGUACAUGUGUGGUGGUAGAAGUUGGGCCUCAAAUGAUCCGUUCUACUCAUUGUGUCAUUGUGUGUUUUUGGUGUGGUUGGGCUACAAAGCAGCCAUAGGUCUAUGAUCAAAACGGAAAUUCCAUAUUCACGGAAACGAAAAGUUCCGUUUCUAUGCAUGUUCCACCGGAAAACACCGUUCCGUUUUUGUUUCCGUUUCCGCAUAAAAACAUUCCAUUUCCACUUCCGUUUUGCAAAUUUCCAUUUCCGUUUCCAUAUUUUCCCUCUGUUUCCAUUUUUCCUUUGGAAAAACGGAAUGUUUCCACUCCACUUUCAUCCUUACUAAUUUCUUCAAACACGACUAAGAUAAUCAACUUAGAAGUGAGGCUGUGAGAGGCAUGGUUCACCUUGAUCGUCCAACAUGAGGAAGCCAGGGAGGCGACCACAAUCUGGUUGCAGGCUCAUAGUGAAGCACCAGUCACCAUGGUGAGUUGUAGCACAAGAGCAGCUGCAGUUACCUAUCCACACAAAUUUCAUACUAUAUAUUGAAUUAAUCACAGAAAGUUAUUUUAAUUGUCCAGGCCCAAUAGAAAUUCAUAUAGUUUACAUGUCAAAAUGGCACACGGCAUAUGGUAGAAGACACUAUGUUACAUGGCAAUACAUGGAUCAUCAUCUCCCUCACAUUUGUUUGUAACACUGAAAAACAAAUAUAUAUGAUUAGCAGUGAGCCAAUGACAAGAAAUUUAUACACACCUAUUCAUUUUAGGUGGCCAUAAGCGCAAUAACUAAAGAUAUGUAAUGUAUGUGUGCCACUGGAGAAAACACAUCCUUACAUGCAUGGUUAGUACACACAUUAUAAGACAAAGAUAUACUUGUGCACUUAAAUUACUGUUGUGCUCUUAUCUUAGACCAUGUGGUUCUAUCAAACUUUCUAUAUGCUCAUAGUGAAUUUGCAAAGAUAAUCCUCGCUGAAUUUUGUGUUUUCUUCCUUUAUCAAUAAAUGUCUUAUAUUAGUCUGCAGACAGUUGUGUUUUGCCAUUAGAUAGUAUUUAUGUCUAACAAAAUUGGAGAAGCCACACCAAAAGUGAGAUAAGAACGUUACCUUCGAACAUUUGACUCGGCAACGGGAUAGUAUCAGUGCAGGUAUUUCAAGCAUGCAUGAAGUAGUGAGCGAGCAACAACAACCUCUUCAAACUUUCUUGCGUGAAAUUAUUCAUAAUGUAAUGAAGGCACUAUAAUACCGCACAAAAAAUCUUAUACAAGAUUAAAGGAAAAAUUGGGUGAGAGGCUGAUAAAUGAAACGUCUUAAAUUUGAUUGCAUGGUAAUUUCACCAUUCAAUUUUAACAUACAGUAAUGUUUUACUUACAUAUCUAACAUGG
Molecule: long non-coding RNA, 2704 nt
Filed under: Triticum aestivum (bread wheat)
Lineage: Eukaryota; Viridiplantae; Streptophyta; Magnoliopsida; Poales; Poaceae
Description: long non-coding RNA (TAES_LNC021808)
Source: RNAcentral